This 449-nucleotide ribosomal RNA is filed under the name uncultured bacterium. RNAcentral describes it as "partial 16S ribosomal RNA". It matches the Rfam family "Bacterial small subunit ribosomal RNA", at positions 29 to 523 of the family's 1533-position model. The record is from RNAcentral.
AGCGAACGCUGGCGGCAGGCCUAACACAUGCAAGUCGAACGGAUCCUUCGGGAUUAGUGGCGGACGGGUGAGUAACACGUGGGAACGUGCCCUUUGGUUCGGAACAACUCAGGGAAACUUGAGCUAAUACCGGAUGUGCCCUUCGGGGGAAAGAUUUAUCGCCGAAGGAACGGCCCGCGUCCGAUUAGCUAGUUGGUGAGGUAAUGGCUCACCAAGGCGACGAUCGGUAGCUGGUCUGAGAGGAUGGCCAGCCUCACUGGGACUGAGACACGGCCCAGACUCCUACGGGAGGCAGCAGUGGGGAAUAUUGGACAAUGGGCGCAAGCCUGAUCCAGCCAUGCCGCGUGGAUGAUGAAGGCCUUAGGGUUGUAAAGUCCUUUUAACGGGGAAGAUAAUGACGGUACCCGUAGAAUAAGCCCCGGCUAAUUUCGUGCCAGCAGCCGCCGUAA